This 603-nucleotide ribosomal RNA is filed under the name Cortinarius sp. PDD 101828. RNAcentral's name for it is "eukaryotic LSU rRNA". The stretch from base 234 to 387 matches the Rfam family "5.8S ribosomal RNA". Lineage: Eukaryota; Fungi; Basidiomycota; Agaricomycetes; Agaricales; Cortinariaceae. The record is from RNAcentral.
GUAACAAGGUUUCCGUAGGUGAACCUGCGGAAGGAUCAUUAUUGAAAAAUAAACCUGAUGAGUUGCUGCUGGUUUCUCUAGGGAAGCAUUGUGCACACUUGUCAUCUUUAUAUCUCCACCUGUGCAUCUUUUGUAGACCUGGAAUUUUUCUAGGCCUAUGUUUCUUCAUAUACCCCCAAUGUAUGUUAUAGAAUGUAAUAAAAUUGGCCUUUGUUGCCUAUAUAAACCUAUACAACUUUCAGCAACGGAUCUCUUGGCUCUCGCAUCGAUGAAGAACGCAGCGAAAUGCGAUAAGUAAUGUGAAUUGCAGAAUUCAGUGAAUCAUCGAAUCUUUGAACGCACCUUGCGCUCCUUGGUAUUCCGAGGAGCAUGCCUGUUUGAGUGUCAUUAAUAUAUCAACCUUGCUUUGUCGAGUGUUUGGAUGUGGGUUUUGCUGGUCUCUCUCUGAGGGUCGGCUCUCCUAAAAUGCAUUAGCGGAACAAUCAUUGUUCAUUGGUGUGAUAACUAUCUACGCUAUUGACAGUGAAGCAAGUUCAGCUUCUAACACUUUUUUUUUUUCAUUAAUGUGACCUCAAAUCAGGUAGGACUACCCGCUGAACUUAA